Molecule: ribosomal RNA, 243 nt
Filed under: Triticum aestivum (bread wheat)
Lineage: Eukaryota; Viridiplantae; Streptophyta; Magnoliopsida; Poales; Poaceae
Description: partial small subunit ribosomal RNA
Source: RNAcentral
AUGAAAUAUUGCCAAGUAACACUCCUCCUGGCCUUGGUCGUUCUUGCCUCAUCACCAGCCAUGGCGACCAAGUGCCCUCCAGAGUACACCUGCACCAAGUACAUCAACCAGGGCCCAUGUGACGCCGCCAAGUGCAUGAUGGACUGUGUGAGCUCGUACAAGGGCGCAGGGGAAGGCCAGUGCUUCCCUCAAGGAUGCAUGUGCUCCUACUGCUGCAAGCCGCAUCAACGAAGAACUAUUUAA